AACCUCGUAGUAUGGUACGUCGACUACUACGUCGAAGGCGUAGGUUCGAUUCUUAUCGAGGUUC
This 64-nucleotide transfer RNA is filed under the name Podospora anserina S mat+. It matches the Rfam family "tRNA". From Rfam's summary of the family: Transfer RNA (tRNA) molecules are approximately 80 nucleotides in length. The record is from Rfam by way of RNAcentral. Lineage: Eukaryota; Fungi; Ascomycota; Sordariomycetes; Sordariales; Podosporaceae.